CCUACGGGUGGCAGCAGUGGGGAAUAUUGGGCAAUGGGCGCAAGCCUGACCCAGCAACGCCGCGUGAAGGAAGAAGGCUUUCGGGUUGUAAACUUCUUUUGUCAGGGACGAAGCAAGUGACGGUACCUGACGUAUAAGCCACGGCUACCUACGUGCCAGCAGCCGCGGUAAUACGUAGGUGGCAAGCGUUAUCUGGAUUUACUGGGUGUAAAGGGCGUGUAGGCGGGGAAGCAAGUCAGAUGUGAAAACCACGGGCUCAACCUGUGGCCUGCAUUUGAUACUGGUUUGCUUGAGGGCUGGAGAGGCGAGCGGAAUUCCGUGUGUAGCGGUGAAAUGCGUAGAUAUGCGGAGGAACACCAGUGGCGAAGGCGGAUUGCUGGACAAAAACUGACGCUGAGGCGCGAAAGCGUGGGGAGCAAACAGGAUUAGAUACCCCAGUAGUC
This 443-nucleotide ribosomal RNA is filed under the name uncultured bacterium. RNAcentral describes it as "partial 16S ribosomal RNA". It matches the Rfam family "Bacterial small subunit ribosomal RNA", at positions 338 to 795 of the family's 1533-position model. The record is from RNAcentral.